Molecule: long non-coding RNA, 1113 nt
Organism: Myotis daubentonii (Daubenton's bat)
Lineage: Eukaryota; Metazoa; Chordata; Mammalia; Chiroptera; Vespertilionidae
Source: RefSeq, a predicted model, not a curated record
AAACCAGCCGUGGGCAAACUACGGCCCGCGGGCCGAAUCCGGCCCGUUUGAAAUGAAUAAAACUAAAAAAAAAAAGACCGUACCCUUUUAUGUAAUGAUGUUUACUUUGAAUUUAUAUUAGUUCACACAAACACUCCAUCCAUGCUUUUGUUCCGGCCCUCCGGUCCAGUUUAAGAACCCAUUGUGGCCCUCGAGUCAAAAAGUUUGCCCACCCCUGAUCUAAACUCCACAAAGGUGAAGAUCCUAUAUUAAUCACUGCUAUUAUCUCAGUUUUUAGAACAGGGCCUGCCACAAAAUAGAUGUCCAAUGAAUGGUGUUAAAGAUUCAAUAAAGUUUUCAGAUGGGGAUAAUGAGGCACAGAGAAGCUCAGUUUUAAGCCAAGGUCACUGGACUAGGAAAUACAAGGGUCAGGAUUAGAACUCAGCCUGUGUUCAUUUCCCUCCCUCCGUUGCUUCAGGAGAUAAGAGGGGCUCCUUAUCCAACCAUGGGAGCUGGCCGGCUGGGCUGUGCUGUGGGGGAAGCACACCCAGGUUCAGGUGUAAGUCCUGCUAGAGGUCCUGAGCUGACACAGAAACCGCUCUUUUGGCGGCAUCGAGGACAGUCUCCGAGAUUACGGAAAGUAAUUUGAAGGCACAUGAUGACGCUUGCCAGUUUUAAGACUGGCUUUAACUAUUUUUCUUGCAGCUGUAGCUUUCUGGGAUAAUGAAUGUACCACAUGUCUGUAUCUCCAGGUUCCCAUACAAAUUAGGAAACUAAAACUGCUGGAUGAUGAAAACAGAUUUCUGCUUGUUUCCAUGGGAAGUCAACUGCCAUGAAACCUCAGGCGAUGGGCGAGGGGGGGGGGGGGGAGGAGGGGGCGCGUUCGGCUCGAGGUGUUCUCUGGCAAGCGGAGGCACUCUGCUGCCCAGGCUCCUGCCCACACCUGUUCAAAAUGUCAGGGUGCCCACCCUGCUGGUGGCCAAGAAACACUGCAAAGAUCACAGACUGGUGAAGGGGCUGGCGUGUGUGGAAAGUACCCAAUGUAAAAGAGAACUUGUAAUACUGCAGUGUUAAAACUGGCUAUUUCUUCCUGCAAGCAGAUUUCAGUUAAUAAUAAAAGUAAUUUCAGAAUUC